This 304-nucleotide ribosomal RNA is filed under the name uncultured bacterium. RNAcentral describes it as "partial 16S ribosomal RNA". It matches the Rfam family "Bacterial small subunit ribosomal RNA", at positions 509 to 808 of the family's 1533-position model. The record is from RNAcentral.
CAGCAGUACCGCGGUAAUACGGAGGGUGCAAGCGUUAAUCGGAAUUACUGGGCGUAAAGCGCACGCAGGCGGUCUGACAAGUCAGAUGUGAAAUCCCCGGGCUUAACCUGGGAACUGCAUUUGAAACUGUCAGGCUGGAGUCUUGUAGAGGGGGGUGGAAUUCCAGGUGUAGCGGUGAAAUGCGUAGAGAUCUGGAGGAAUACCGGUGGCGAAGGCGGCCCCCUGGACAAAGACUGACGCUCAGGUGCGAAAGCGUGGGGAGCAAACAGGAUUAGAUACCCGAGUAGUCCCUGUCUCUUAUACC